GCAAGUCGAGCGGGACCUUCGGGUCUAGCGGCGGACGGGUUAGUAACGCGUGGGAAUAUGCCCAAAGGUACGGAAUAGCCUCUGGAAACGGAGAGUAAUACCGUAUGUGCCCUUCGGGGGAAAGAUUUAUCGCCUUUGGAGUAGCCCGCGUUGGAUGAGGUAGUUGGUGGGGUAAUGGCCGACCAAGCCUACGAUCCAUAGCUGGUUUGAGAGGAUGAGC
RNAcentral lists this ribosomal RNA (220 nucleotides) under uncultured bacterium. RNAcentral's name for it is "partial 16S ribosomal RNA". It matches the Rfam family "Bacterial small subunit ribosomal RNA", at positions 57 to 305 of the family's 1533-position model. The record is from RNAcentral.